Molecule: RNA transcript, 3307 nt
Organism: Pseudopipra pipra
Lineage: Eukaryota; Metazoa; Chordata; Aves; Passeriformes; Pipridae
Gene: MLIP
Gene name: muscular LMNA interacting protein
Exons: 15
Source: RefSeq, a predicted model, not a curated record
CAUGCGCUGACCAGAAAUCACCACAGUGCUGCCUGAUCCUUUUCUCUCCUAACUCCAAAAGUACAGGCAUAUCGAACAUGUGGUCAGGUUGAAUCACUUCUGCUCAGGAUAUUGAGUGGUUUUUAUUCCCCUGGGAAAUGGAGUUAGGAAAACAUGAAAGCAAAGUCUCAGGAAGAGCAGCUUCAGAGGAAAAGCAAACGGUCAUUUCUCAAGAACCUGGAACCAAACCAUUGACCUUCACAUUUGUGCCAUCCAUUGGACGACUUCCAACUCAUUUUGAGGUUGUGGAUAUUUCUGAGUUCCUUGUGACAGUUCCAGAGGAACCAACAGAUCUGAGCAAUCAAGAAAUUUUAAAUAAGUCUAACACAGUCUCCCAUGAGCUGGCCUUAAAGAGUGGGGCCAGACAAGCCUGUGUGUCCACUGUCUGUGCAGACAACACGCAAACGGCUUUCCAGUCCCUGGGGUGUAAUUCAAGCAAAGGAGAAAUGCAGGAGAAUGACCUUUUUAAGGCUGAGUUCAUCCUGAUUACGGACUCCGGUGAUGAAGAUGAAGUAACUGCUGCCUCGAACAAUGUUCAUCGGCCUUCCAAUGGUUAUGGUCCCAUCAGUGCUCAGCUGCUGACCACAUCCCAUGUUUCCUCUGGCACCGGGGCAGGGAAACCUCCUGGCGAUGGGCACCUUCCAGGUGCUGUGCUUUCCCACAGUACUACUGAUCCACAAAAACAUCAGUUAAUUUCUACUCUUUCCACCUCUGAUCAUCUUUCCUCUAAACCACCUGCUGUCCACUUAAUUUCUCCAAUUAAUCAGAAAGUAGCAUGUGGUGCCAUGGUUAACAUGAAUCAAGCCUCUUCGCUGGAAGAUUCCUGUAACAACUGGCAGUCAGCAACUGGGUUUUCUAAGCAAGACUCAUCUCUCUACUUUCAGUCUGCUUCCCAUAGUUCACAUCCCUCCAUGUCUAAAAUAUCCUCUUCUGCAUCAAAGAGUUGGUACUCCACUCCUCAAUUGUCUGAUAACCUACAAACACCAAGUCUCUAUACUCCUGGCUGUGUUUGCAAAAUGGGAGACUUCACCACAUCCUCUGUUCCAGCAAAGAGCUCAAGUCUUUUCCCCAGUCCUCCAUGUUCAGCUGAAAUACAAGGAUCCUCAGCUCAGACUUCAUCCCCCAGUUCUUCCAAAAGACUGAAUGCUUUAUCUCCUCUCCCUGUACAUAUAAUAACACAUUCAUUAUCUCCUACUCCUAAACCUUUGUCUCCACCCUCUCUUUAUGGUUCCUCUUCAACAAUAUGUAGUAUAAAUGAGCCUUGUGCACAAAUGUCAUCUAGAGGAAAUUUAGCAAAGUCAGGAGUCAAAUCCCCUCUGCCAACCAGACUGACUCUCUUAACUGCUAUUUUGAGAUCAGGCUCCUCUCAGCGGAGACCACUUUCUCCUGCUUCUUGUCCCACAUUUUCUCGUAGCUCCCUCGGUUCGUCAACACUUGCAAUAGAUCAAAAGUCCAAAACAACUCCCCCAACUCCCAAGAAAUCUGUUUCAAGCCCUCCUAUAUGGCCAGAUUCUCCCAAUAGAGAGGAUUGCUGGCUUUCAGGAUGGGCUCAGCAUCUGCCUUUUCCCUCCAAGCCUCAUCCCACCCCUCGAGCGAGGUCCCUUUCUCCUAAAAAGCACCUUCCAGUUCAAACACUUUCUCCAGACUCCCAGAGUUCUCUGUCAUCCCUCGCCUCCUAUCAUAGAACAUCAGUUGUCUCUCCAGAUUUGCAAUCUACACUGCUUCCUCCUUGUGCCCCAGCUCCCUCUUCCUUAGCUCCUUCUCCAGAAGGGCUGCGGUAUGCUGCCUCCAGAUCCCAGGCACCUCAGAAGUCUCAGAGAGUACACACUUACUCACCCAUCUUUACCCGCCGGUCAUAUCCUUUGCUUUCUUCUACCAAUCUUAGUGGUGUAUUCUCCCCCACCCUAGAAAAACACUCAUCUCCUACCCCAAGUCUUUCGCACUCAUCUUCUAGAUCUAAGUCAGAUUCAUCCCAAAUGUCUGUUCAGGACAUGAGUGCCUCCUCUCCUACCCCUUCCAGUGUCCCAAAGAGGUGGUCUCUCCCACAGCCUCACUCUACCCCACCAGUUCCACAAACUGGUAAUAUUAAUUCCCACCCACUGCAGUUUAAUUCUUCAUUGGUGCAUGCAAGUUAUAGGUCUAAUUCCUCCUCUCCAAGACCUGAGCAAUCUGCCACCUCACCGGUGCUAAAGUGCAGAUCUCCCAUCUCAGAAAAGUCACCAGGUAUACUGCCAUCAAGACCCAGAGAGCUGACUUCACCACAGUCUUUUUCCCUGCCUUCUGACCAUGAAAACAUCAAACCCAAGCAGUACAAGAUCAAGACAAGCUACAAGGCAUUUGCAGCAAUCCCUACAAACACAUUGCUUAUGGAACAGAAGGCAUUAGAAGAGCCAACGAAGCCUGUGAGUGUGACUGAAGGCACUGCUUUGGACACUCAUUCAGAGAUGUGCUCCCCUGUCCAGCUUAGACAACAAACAGAAGAGCUGUGUGCUGUCAUUGAUCAAGUCCUGCAGGACCCAUUGACUAUGCGCCGGUGUGAGUCUUCUCCAAGUUUUCUGCAGAUGAGCAUGGAGUCAGAUGUUGGCAAGAUGUCAACAACGCUUCAGAAAGCAGCUGGGCGUGAAACCAAAUAUGCCAGCCUUUACAAAUCGGUGCCUAUGGUAACAGAGAGUCAGAUGACAAAACCCGGUGUCAUUCGUCCUGUGCUGGUGAAAGGAAAGAGUGCACAGCAAAAGGAGGAGCCCUAUCAACCUAAUCCUUUUAAAAAGUACCUUGAAGAAAUCAGUGAUCAAGGUAUUGAGCAGAAGCCCAGUCAUCCCAUGAUGCCUAUUCCAGAAAAUGAGACACUCAGCUCUAAGGAGAAUUGGAUGUUAUGAUGCUUUCCCUUUCUAGUGCAUUAAAAAAAGGCAAGGUUUCCAAAGAAAGAGGUUCUGUUUAGCUCUGAUGCCCCAAAUUAGGAUCAAGAGCUGAAACUGAAUUUUGAGGCCUGUUUCUGUACUGAGAAAGAAUCCACACCACAAAUGUUAUUUAAAGCACCAUUAAAAAAAAAUUGCUUCCAGUAUGAUAAUUGUAAAGCAGUAAUAACAAUCAAAUAUUCUUUCAAGAGAUAAUCUUAUAUAAUAGCAUAAUUAACCCCAGAGCUACACGCUUGAAUAUGCCAUUUCUUGAAAUGCUUGUUGUUUUAAGAGAUGCCCAAUAUAACACAGCAUAUUUUAUUUAGGAAUAAUAUAAAUGUUGAAAUUAAAUAAAGCUGUAUUUUUGUUGCAAA